Molecule: unclassified non-coding RNA, 938 nt
Filed under: Hevea brasiliensis (rubber tree)
Lineage: Eukaryota; Viridiplantae; Streptophyta; Magnoliopsida; Malpighiales; Euphorbiaceae
Source: RNAcentral
UUUUCUAUUUCUACCUGUAUAAGUGAAACCCUUAUACCGAGCCAACGGCCCUCUCCACGACAUAUCUUCUUCUCUCCACAAACUAUUUCUAAUCGGAGCUCUUCAAUUUUUGUUAGGGUUAGGGUUGAUUAGAGCUAUCGGAGUUUGUAAAGAAUAGUGAGGGGUUGCAGCCAACCAGGAGAUGUAUAAGGGAAUAGGGUUACAGACCCCAAGAGGGUCUGGCACCAAUGGUUAUAUACAGACCAACAAAUUCUCCGUGAAGCCAAAGACUGCUAAGGUUGACCAGGGCACUGCUGGUUUCACCAAGAAACCCAAUAAGGAUAUACUUGAGCAUGAACGCAAGCGCCAAAUCCAUCUCAAGCUUGUUGUGCUUGAAGACAUCCUCGCUGAACAAGGAUAUACCGAUCUGGAAAUUGCUGACAAGCUUCAAGAUGCUAGGAAGAUUUUAGAAGCUGCCUCAGCCUCUUAGGAAAGUGGUGGACCUGUUGCUACUGUGGUUAGUGAGACAAAGUAAACUGUCUCCCCCCUAGUUUUUUUUGUUGGUAUAAAUUGUUGAAAAUUAUUCAAUAUCCCAAUAAUUAAAUCUUAUUUCUGAUUGUUUUGAUAUUUGUUACAAGAUUAUUGUGACUGUAAUCUUAAUCUUUUUGCAACAUUGUUUUAACGGUGUUGGAUUCUUAUUUAUAGUAUAUCUAGUUGCACUUGAUUAGUUGAAAUCAUGUUAGUCUCUGUGUCAAAACAAGUUUUAUUGGGGAACAGUCACGUUGCACCACUGGUGAAUAGAAAUCGUUUAUAAUAACUGGUGGAAGCUUCUAGUAGAUCUAAUUUAAGACUAUGCAUGGUCAACAUAGUUUGAUGCACUUGAAGAUAGUGGUUAUAUUAUAUAUGCAAUUCUUUGUUGACCAAAUUAAGGCUGAUUUAUUGCUGUGGCAGAAUUCUUU